UUUUAUUUAAUUGUUGAAAAUAUUGGCAUAUAAUGAAAAUUGUUUCUUUCUUGACUAUUUGAUAAAAUUGGCAAAAUCAGUGAGGUAUAUAGAUUUUCUUACGGGAAGAUAUAAAGUUACAUAAGAUUUAUUACUUGACUAGAAAUAAGACAGUUCAGAUUUUUAAUUAUUGUUAGUUAUUUUUUUUUACUUUCACAGGGAAACAUCCAUAUAAGUUUCUGAACUCAUUGAUACAACCUGGUUCAUAACAUGUUAUUAUACUGUCAGUGUCAAAGAGUCACUAUCUGAUUCUUUUUCAUUUCUAACAAUGAUUAUUUUUGUCUUUUAUAUAUGUCUUGUUCGGUCUCAUCACAUAGUUGGUUUAAAAAUUUGUAAUUGUUUCAUAUGUCAAAUUUUAGAUUUGUUGAUAACAUCUGUUUUCUAUUUCCUUAAUUUGUGAUUUUCGCCUUUUUUUCCUUGCUUAUGAACUGAACUUUUUUUAAAAUCUUUGAUAAGUUUGUUUUACCAUUUUACCUUAAAGUGUAUUUUAUCUCACAUUAAUAUAAUCAGACCAUAUUUUUCUUGGUUGAAUUUUUUGAAUUGGGGCUACAUUUUUUUUUUUUGGUCUUUUUAGGGCUGUACCUGCGAUAUAUGGAGGUUCCCAGGCUAGGGGUUGAAUCCAAGCUGUAGCCACCAGCCUACACCACAGCUGCAGCAACGUCAGAUCUGAGCCACCUCUAUGACCUACACCUCAACUCAUGGCAGCGCCAGAGCCUUAACCCACUGAGCAAGGCCAGGGAUUGAACCUGCAUCCUCAUGGAUACUAGUCAGAUUCAUUUCAGCUGAGCCAAGAUGGGAAUUCAUACAUUUUUAUUUUUAACCCUUCUGUAUCCUUAUGUUUUAGAUGCAUAUAUUAUAACUAAAUAGCUGGAGUUUAAAAAUUCAAAUACGAUAAUUUCUGUCUUUUACCUGAAGCAUUUUAUCACUUAUGUUAGUCAUAAUUACUUAUAGAUUAGCCUAUUUGUAUACAACCAUUUAUUUUUUAUUUGUAUUUUCUUUUGACCAUGCCUGUGGCAAUGUGGAAGUUUAUAUAUAACAAUUUAUCAUGUAACUCUAUUUGUCCCACCCUUCUGUGUUUCUUUCAUUUUUUUGUCCUCUUCUAAUCAAUUAUGUACUUAUUCCCGAUUCUCUUUUUACUUAUACUAGUUCAGAAAUUAUGAAUACUGUUUAUUUUUUUUAACAUUCGCUCUUGUAAUUACAACAUGAACAUGCAACUAAUCAAAGUGAAUGAAUAGCAAACUCUCCCUCAUCCAGAAGGAUCUUUGGUUUCCUUUUUCUUUUUUUCAAACUCCUUACUGAGAUAUAAUUCCUACCAUACAAUCAACUAUUUAAAGUGAAGAAUUCAAUGUUUCGUCAUAUAUUCACAAAGUUGUGCAACCAUUACCACAAUCUAAUUUCUGGAAAAUAUUCCUUCCCCCAAAAGAAACCACUUGUUCGGGAGUGGAUAAGCAAUGAGAUUCUGCUGUAUAGCUGAGGAAAUGAAAUCUAAUCAUUUGUGAUGGAACAUCACGAUGGAGGAUAACGUGGGUAUAUAUAUGUAUAUAUAUAUAUAUAUAUAUACACACACAUAUAUAUAUAUGAAUGACUGGGUCAUUUUGCUAUACAGUAAACAUUGACAGAACACUGUAAAUCAACUACAAUGGAAAAAAUAAAAAUCAUGUAAACUUAACAAAAUAAAAAAAGUAAAAUGAGCUUGGGACAACAACAACAAAAAAGAAACCACUUGUUCAUUAGCAAUUAUUCCUCACCUCCUAAUAUCCUCCCUCACCCCAAGCAACCAUUAAUCUACUAUCUACUGGUACAGAUUUGCCUAUUCUAGAUAUUUAAUAUAAAUAACAUAAUAUAUGAUCUUUAUGUCUGGUCUCUUUCUUUUAGCAUAACGUUUUCAAGAUUUAUGACAUUGUAGAAUGUAUCAGAACACUUUUACGACCGAAUAAUAUUCUAUUGGAGACAUAGCACAUCUUACUUAUCCAUUCAUUGGUUGAGGGAUAUUUGUGUUGUUUCUGCUCUUCGACUGUUAAUAAUGUUAUAAACAUUCAUGGACAGGUUUUUGUGUGACCAUAUGUUUCCUCUCUCCCACCCCUCCUCCCCUACCCUCUGCCUCCCUCUCCUUUUCCCUCCACUUCUCUUUUUUUCUUUUCUCUCUUUCUCUCUCCCUCCCUCUUUCCCUCCAUCUCUUGGAAUAUGUGUCUGAUAAUUCCCUUUUAUGAAAUUUUUACUUAUCUAUUUCUGUUGCCCUUUUUUUACUAGUCUCACUCAAAGACACCUCACUUACUUAUAAGUUUAAUUAUUUUUGACCACGUGGCAUGUGGAAGUUCCUGGCCCAGGGAUCAAACCCAGGCCACAUCAGCAACCAGAGUCACUGCAGCAACAACACUGGAUCCUUAACCUGCUAAGUUACUAGGGAACUCCACCUAUUUAUACUUUUAAACUUACCUUCGGUGAGACAUUAAUCCAAGAUAACUGGAAGCAAUAAAUCCCUGGACACAAAGCCAGGGACACCUUUUCCUUAUUACAGUCUGUAUAACUACCAUGAGACAAAGGUUGACUGAAAAGACCUACCUGUAUUUAGUAACUUGAGUUGACACCAGCCAACUUAUUAUGCUUAAAUGCUGCUGUUUAUACAAUACCUGUUACUAGCACUUGAGUUUGAAUUAGCUAAUGGAAAACAAUAGAAUAUGUUAUGAUUAGAGGGACUAUUGUAUGUUCUAGUAAAGCAGACCAGGGUCAAAAUUCUCUUUAACCUUUACCAGGUGUAUUGUAUUGGGCUUCAGUUUUUCCCAUUUGUAAAAUGAGGAUAAUGAUAAGAUCAAUCUUGUAAGAUUAAUGCCAAGGUAAUGCAUUUAAAGAUGUGAAACACCCAGCAAAAUAAUUGAAAUAUAGUAAAACUUUUAGUAAAGUUUAGCCCUGUGCUCAUUAUCUCUGAUUAUCAGGCAGUUCAAGAAUGGGACACCGGGUAGGUCAGUCUUAAAGGAAAUAGGAUUUGGAAAGUUCACAGAUCUUCAAGAAAGAGUGGUGACCUUCUGGAAAGUCAGGCAACACUCAUGAAGGUACCAGCUCUCAAAAGGAGGGGAUAGAGAUAUGAAUGGUGCAGAGAUUAAUUUUACUAGUUCCACAAUUUCUCCAGGGCUAGUCUAGGAAAAUAAAUUGCUUUAGGUCUAAGGUUCCUUGGGAAGUCUGUUCAUACAACAACAGUACUUUGAUGACUUUCUUAAGUGUGAGGUUGAAGAAUGUGAUAGAGGUUAGGUUCACAUCUGAACAAGGACCUGCUUGAUACUGCCUUAUACUCAUUUCCGCCCGUCCAGUCCUCCGAAACACAGCCCCAAAGAGAAGUUGCUGUAAAUUCCUAUUUUAAGAUGUCAAGAUAGGUGACCAUGUACAUAAGGGGAAAGGGGACAAAAGAAGGAAGCUGAAAGCUAAAGGACACAGAAGGACCUUGGACUCUGUGUGGUGUGUGGGAAGCAUUAGAGAUGCUUCCAGAUGUGAUUAACUACAAAGAAAAGCAAGGACUGUAACUGAAGCCAGAAUAGUGCCUAUGUCUAGGGGAGAGGCACCAGAAGGGAUUGCAGGGCAAGGGGGUGGGGGUUAUUUUGGUAGGGCUGUUUCUUGCCUUGUGUGGAGUUAACACUUAUGAUCAUUUGCAAAACAAGUCUAUAAAUGUUUUAUCCACAUUUCUGUAUUAUCUUAUAUUUCUCAGGCUUAAAAUUGAAAAGAAUUACCAUGUUAAAAUUUAAAAAUAUUUAACAGCACUCAUUACUUUGUGAAAGUAUAUUACACACACAGCCAGUUUUUAGUUAUUUUCAUUGAUUACCCUCCUUAGAAUGAUUUAUCAUGUUCUGAUCUCCAGCUGGUUUAUUUUAUUUAUUUAUUUAUUUAUUUAUUUAUUUAUUGGCUAUGCCCAUGGCAUGCAGGUGUUCUCAGGCCAUGGAUCAAACCCAAGCCACGGCAGCGACAUCAAGUUCUUAACCCGCUGAGCCACCAGGGAACUCUCCUCCAGCAGUUUUAUCCUUGACAACUGGCAUACUUUAAGCCGUUUCCCACACUCUCAGAUGCUGGAAGCAGUGCCUGGCUUUUACCCAUUAUCCAAUUUAAAAGAUAAUAGUCACAAUCUUUCUUACAUCCAUCAAUAAUCAAUACCAGCUAUUUGUUAUUAUAAAUCCAAACAAUGCUUAUAAAGCGGUUUGUCUGCCAUCUUCCUACACCCACCCCCUCAGCUUGCACUGAACCCCUGGCGUGGGGAGGCUCAGGUGCAAGAGUUUGCUCCAAAGGGAGCCCGGCCUGACCAGAAAUCUGGAACUCAUCUUUCAACAAAGACAGAAAGGAGUUCUCAUGUGACACAGUGAGUUAAGGAUCUCGCAUUGUCAUUGCAAAGGCUUGGGUCGCUGCUGUGGUGUGGGUUCAAUCCCUGGCCCAGGAACUUCCACAUGCUGCAGGCACAGCCAAAAGAAAAACAAAACAAAACAAAACAGAAACAUGAAGCAGCCAGAUGCCCUAAGUGCAGCCUUUCCUCUAAAGGGGUUCAGAGUGUUUCACUUCAAAAAAAUCAUGCCAUUCUGUCAUACGGAUUUUGAACAGCAGACAACUGAGACGAAACAGUCAAACUCUCUGUCCUCCCCCUAUUUGCCUAAAUGAGGACCUAAAUGUGUAAAUGGGUCCCCCCUUCUCCCCUCUACCAGGAAGAACAGAGGUUAAUCACUAGAGACAACUACAGACCCUUAUCAACCCUGAGAUGGCGGCAGAGAAAUCCACAUAACGUACCUUACAAAGUAAGUUUUCUCUUCCAUUAGUUUCCCCAUAUAUUUACUGGUCCACAAUUUGCCACCUAAAACCCUCCUUCCUCUGUCCUGUCACUUUUCUACAAAAGCACUGUCUUGGCUCAGAUGCUUUGUAAGCCCCAAGAUCUAAUUAUGUCUUUGAGUAGCUCAUCACUGAAUAAGCCCCUGUGUAUGCACAAUACACAUGUUAGUGUAUUAAUAAACUUCUCUUGUUUUGUACUUGUUAACCUGUCUUUUGUCAGUCUAAUUUACAGGGCCCCAUUAGAGAACCAAAGAGGGUACUGGAAAAAGGUUUUCCAUCCUUUCCCAACUUAUCUCUUCACACAUGUGAAGAUUGCCCUUGCAAUGCCCAUUCUCUAAUUUCUGGAGUUGGUUUACCUUUUGAGUUAUGGUUAUGGCCCCCUCUCACCACUACCCGUCAUGCAGAGUGGUUUCUCCUGGCUAUUCCUCGACUCUGCCCCUGGAAUCAGUCCUUCUCUCUGUCACUCUCUCUACUCAUGCACAGGAUAACACCACUUAGGCAUUUGCUUCCCAAAUUGACAGACUACUUUUCCCCUAUCCUCUGAAUUAUUCGUUCCAUCAAUGCACAGACUAUAAUAGUUUCCAUUUCAAACCAAAAAAAAAAAAAAAAA
This 5446-nucleotide long non-coding RNA is filed under the name Sus scrofa (pig). RNAcentral describes it as "lncRNA (ENSSSCG00065061087.1)". Lineage: Eukaryota; Metazoa; Chordata; Mammalia; Artiodactyla; Suidae. The record is from RNAcentral.